Molecule: microRNA precursor, 74 nt
Filed under: Mus caroli (Ryukyu mouse)
Lineage: Eukaryota; Metazoa; Chordata; Mammalia; Rodentia; Muridae
Description: microRNA 7237 (MGP_CAROLIEiJ_G0008232.1)
Source: RNAcentral
AUGGUAGCUUGUGACAGGACUGGUCCUUGGGGGAGCAAAGCCAUCCCAUCUGCUCUGUGUUGAGCUUACCGUGC